Molecule: ribosomal RNA, 618 nt
Filed under: uncultured eukaryote
Lineage: Eukaryota
Description: SSU rRNA
Rfam family: Eukaryotic small subunit ribosomal RNA
Source: RNAcentral
CCAGCUCCAAUAGCGUAUAUUAAAGUUGUUGCAGUUAAAAAGCUCGUAGUUGGAUCUCGGGCACCAGCAAGUGGUACGCUUAAUUGCUGUUACUACUUGACUGGUCCUAAUCAACCGGUUGGCCGUUGAUGCCCUUUAUUGGGUGUUUUCGGUAGCCGGUACGUUUACUUUGAGAAAAUUAGAGUGCUUAAAGCAGGCCAUACGCCUGAAUAAUGUUGCAUGGAAUAAUAGAAUAGGACCUCGGUUCUAUUUUGUUGGUUUUGUAGAGCAUUGAGGUAAUGAUUAAUAGGGACAGACGGGGGCAUUCGUAUUGCGGUGUUAGAGGUGAAAUUCUUGGAUCGCCGCAAGACGAACAACUGCGAAAGCAUUUGCCAAGAAUGUUUUCAUUAAUCAAGAACGAAAGUUGGAGGUUCGAAGACGAUUAGAUACCGUCCUAGUUCCAACCAUAAACGAUGCCAACUAGCGAUUAGCUGCUGUUAUAUAAACGACACAGCUAGCAGCUUCCGGGAAACCAAAGUCUUUGGGUUCCGGGGGAAGUAUGGUUGCAAAGCUGAAACUUAAAGGAAUUGACGGAAGGGCACCACCAGGAGUGGAGCCUGCGGCUUAAUUCGACUCAAC